This 253-nucleotide ribosomal RNA is filed under the name uncultured bacterium. RNAcentral describes it as "partial 16S ribosomal RNA". It matches the Rfam family "Bacterial small subunit ribosomal RNA", at positions 524 to 776 of the family's 1533-position model. The record is from RNAcentral.
UACAGAGGGUGCGAGCGUUAAUCGGAAUUACUGGGCGUAAAGCGCACGUAGGUGGCUUGGCAAGUCGGGUGUGAAAUCCCCGGGCUCAACCUGGGAACUGCAUCCGAGACUGCCUUGCUAGAGUAUGGGAGAGGGAAGUGGAAUUUCCGGUGUAGCGGUGAAAUGCGUAGAUAUCGGAAGGAACAUCAGUGGCGAAGGCGACUUCCUGGACCAAUACUGACACUCAGGUGCGAAAGCGUGGGGAGCAAACAGG